RNAcentral lists this ribosomal RNA (625 nucleotides) under Pseudoalteromonas sp. Its description in RNAcentral is "bacterial SSU rRNA". It matches the Rfam family "Bacterial small subunit ribosomal RNA", at positions 53 to 664 of the family's 1533-position model. Lineage: Bacteria; Pseudomonadati; Pseudomonadota; Gammaproteobacteria; Alteromonadales; Pseudoalteromonadaceae. The record is from RNAcentral.
ACAUGCAAGUCGAGCGGUAACAGAGAUAGCUUGCUAUCUGCUGACGAGCGGCGGACGGGUGAGUAAUGCUUGGGAAUAUGCCUUUUGGUGGGGGACAACAGUUGGAAACGACUGCUAAUACCGCAUAACGUCUACGGACCAAAGUGGGGGACCUUCGGGCCUCACGCCAAGAGAUUAGCCCAAGUGGGAUUAGCUAGUUGGUGAGGUAAUGGCUCACCAAGGCAACGAUCCCUAGCUGGUUUGAGAGGAUGAUCAGCCACACUGGAACUGAGACACGGUCCAGACUCCUACGGGAGGCAGCAGUGGGGAAUAUUGCACAAUGGGCGCAAGCCUGAUGCAGCCAUGCCGCGUGUGUGAAGAAGGCCUUCGGGUUGUAAAGCACUUUCAGUCAGGAGGAAAGGUUAGUAGUUAAUAGCUGCUAGCUGUGACGUUACUGACAGAAGAAGCACCGGCUAACUCCGUGCCAGCAGCCGCGGUAAUACGGAGGGUGCGAGCGUUAAUCGGAAUUACUGGGCGUAAAGCGUACGCAGGCGGUUUGUUAAGCGAGAUGUGAAAAGCCCCGGGCUCAACCCUGGGGAACUGCAUUUCGAACUGGCAAAACUAAAAGUGUGAUAGAGGGUGGUAG